ACCGAACCCACUAAAUUUGAAAAAUUAGGGGAUGACUUGUGGAUCGGAGUGAAAGGCUAAUCAAGCCGGGAGAUAGCUGGUUCUCCUCGAAAGCUAUUUAGGUAGCGCCUCGGACGAAUACCACUGGGGGUAGAGCACUGUUUGGGCUAGGGGGUCAUCCCGACUUACCAACCCCAUGCAAACUCCGAAUACCAGUGAGUACUAUCCGGGAGACACACGGCGGGUGCUAACGUCCGUCGUGGAAAGGGAAACAACCCAGACCGUCAGCUAAGGUCCCAAAAUCCAUGUUAAGUGGGAAACGAUGUGGGAAGGCUCAGACAGCUAGGAGGUUGGCUUAGAAGCAGCCACCCUUUAAAGAAAGCGUAAUAGCUCACUAGUCGAGUCGGCCUGCGCGGAAGAUAUAACGGGGCUCAAACAUGGUACCGAAGCUACGGACUUGUGCUUGCACAAGUGGUAGAGGAGCGUUCUGUAAGCCGUUGAAGGUGGAUUGAGAAGUCUGCUGGAGGUAUCAGAAGUGCGAAUGCUGACAUGAGUAACGAUAAUGCGAGUGAAAAACUCGCACGCCGAAAGACCAAGGGUUCCUGUCCAACGUUAAUCGGGGCAGGGUGAGUCGGCCCCUAAGGCGAGGCUGAAAAGCGUAGUCGAUGGGAAACGGGUUAAUAUUCCCGUACUUGGGUGUACUGCGAUGGGGGGACGGAGAAGGCUAGGCCAUCCGGGCGUUGGUUGUCCCGGUUCAAGCAAGUAGGCUGAGAUCUUAGGAAAAUCCGGGAUCUUAAGGCUGAGAUGCGAUGACGGUGAGACUACGGUCUCCGAAGUGGUUGAUGCCCAGCUUCCAGGAAAAGCCUCUAAGCUUCAGGUACACCGAAACCGUACCCGAAACCGACACAGGUGGGCUGGUAGAGUAUACCAAGGCGCUUGAGAGAAGGGUGUUGAAGGAACUCGGCAAAUUGCCUCCGUACCUUCGGAAGAAGGAGGCCCU
This 979-nucleotide ribosomal RNA is filed under the name Diacronema lutheri. Its description in RNAcentral is "partial Bacterial large subunit ribosomal RNA". It matches the Rfam family "Bacterial large subunit ribosomal RNA", at positions 773 to 1753 of the family's 2925-position model. The record is from RNAcentral. Lineage: Eukaryota; Haptophyta; Pavlovophyceae; Pavlovales; Pavlovaceae.